This 526-nucleotide ribosomal RNA is filed under the name uncultured bacterium. RNAcentral's name for it is "bacterial SSU rRNA". It matches the Rfam family "Bacterial small subunit ribosomal RNA", at positions 772 to 1286 of the family's 1533-position model. The record is from RNAcentral.
ACUGAAUAGAUACCCCGGGUAGUCCACGCCGUAAACUAUGAGUGCUAGAUGUUGGGAGGUUUACUUCUCAGUGUCGCAGCUAACGCAUUAAGCACUCCGCCUGGGGAGUACGGCCGCAAGGUUAAAACCCCAAAGGAAUUGACGGGGGCCCGCACAAGCGGUGGAGCAUGUGGUUUAAAAUUCGAAGCAACGCGCAGAACCUUACCAUCCCUUGACAUCCCUAUCGCGGUUUCCAGAGAUGGAUUCCUUCAGCUCGGCUGGAUAGGUGACAGGUGCUGCAUGGCUGUCGUCAGCUCGUGUCGUGAGAUGUUGGGUUUAAGUCCCGCAACGUAGCGCAACCCGUCGCUCUUAGUCGCCAUCAGGUAAACGCUGGGCACUCUAAGAGAACCUGCCGGUGAUAACGCCGGAGGAACGGUGGGGAUGACGUCAAGUCCUCAUGGCCCUUAUGGGAUGGGCUACACGACGUGCUACAAUGGCGUGACAGUGGAAGCAAGGGUGCGAGCCUGAGCAAAUCUCCAAAAGCCGU